Dromaius novaehollandiae (emu) is the source of this 687-nucleotide long non-coding RNA. RefSeq lists it as uncharacterized. The record is from RefSeq and is a predicted model, not a curated record. The transcript is spliced from 3 exons. NCBI's taxonomy places the organism in Eukaryota, Metazoa, Chordata, Aves, Casuariiformes, Dromaiidae.
GCGAGCAUACGUUUUUGCAAGCUGAACCUCAACCAUGUGGCUAGCAGCACUCAAGCUGAAAUAACUGUGGAGGGCUUGGAAAGAAAAGCGGGGAAAUAGAGGGCAGGAGCAUCAAAAGAACAUCCCCAAACUGCUCCAUCUGGCUCUUCCCCCUUCAUUUGGGAGCUGACCACCUGCUCCUCCCUAUUCCAUGUUCCACGUUAGAAAGAAGAGCGUCAUUCAGAGAUGGAGCACAUGAAGUUGUGACCGGGCAAGGCAGCCGGUUAGCCGCCAGAGGGGAUGAAGAUGCGGUGAAGAUGCUGCCAAGAGCGGAGAAGGCUCCUCAAGGGAUGCGGAGAGGGAAGGCAGGCUGCAAAGGCAGAAGAAGAGGCAGUCCAGGAAAAGCGGACUCUAAGAAGACCAUUUAUGUCCACAGCCUAAGCUGCAACUGAUGUAUAACUGAAUGGAUCAAAAACGUCUUCAUUUUCUGCCCUGCAAAUCACCAGCACAGAGAAAUGAAGCAGAAUACCACUGCGUGGUAGUCAUAGAAACAGCGGUUAUCAAUGUAAAGAUCUGAAAGAAAGUGUGAAAGUUUCUGUUAAAUUAUAUGCCAUUCUUCACUUUAAGAAUAUUUGAUCAUAAAACAUUGUUUUUCCAAAACAAGAGCAUAAAGCUCCAUGCUACUCCUCUGGACCUGUCUGUGUUGAC